GACACUGAGGCUCGAAAGCGUGGUAGCAAACAGGAUUAGAUAUCCUUGGUAGUACACGCCGUAAACGAUGUCUACUAAGUCGUUGGGUCCCUUGAGGACUUAGUGACGCAGCUAACGCAAUAAGUAGACCGCCUGGGGAGUACGGCCGCAAGGUUAAAACUCAAAUGAAUUGACGGGGGCCCGCACAAGCGGUGGAGCAUGUGGUUUAAUUCGAUGCAACGCGAAGAACCUUACCUGGUCUUGACAUACACAGAAUCUUGUAGAGAUACGAGAGUGCCUUCGGGAAUUGUGAUACAGGUGCUGCAUGGCUGUCGUCAGCUCGUGUCGUGAGAUGUUGGGUUAAGUCCCGCAACGAGCGCAACCCUUGUCCUUAGUUACCAGCACUUCGGGUGGGAACUCUAAGGAUACUGCCAGUGACAAACUGGAGGAAGGCGGGGACGACGUCAAGUCAUCAUGGCCCUUACGACCAGGGCUACACACGUGCUACAAUGGUAGGUACAGAGGGCAGCUACACAGCGAUGUGAUGCGAAUCUCAAAAAGCCUAUCGUAGUCCAGAUUGGAGUCUGCAACUCGACUCCAUGAAGUAGGAAUCGCUAGUAAUCGCGGAUCAGAAUGCCGCGGUGAAUACGUUCCCGGGCCUUGUACACACCGCCCGUCACACCAUGGGAGUUGAUUGCACCAGAAGUGGUUAGCC
Molecule: ribosomal RNA, 694 nt
Filed under: uncultured bacterium
Lineage: Bacteria
Description: bacterial SSU rRNA
Rfam family: Bacterial small subunit ribosomal RNA
Source: RNAcentral